RNAcentral lists this ribosomal RNA (445 nucleotides) under uncultured bacterium. RNAcentral describes it as "bacterial SSU rRNA". It matches the Rfam family "Bacterial small subunit ribosomal RNA", at positions 330 to 792 of the family's 1533-position model. The record is from RNAcentral.
CCCAGACUCCUACGGGAGGCAGCAGUGGGGAAUAUUGCACAAUGGGCGAAAGCCUGAUGCAGCGACGCCGCGUGAAGGAUGAAGUAUUUCGGUAUGUAAACUUCUAUCAGCAGGGAAGAAAAUGACGGUACCUGACUAAGAAGCCCCGGCUAACUACGUGCCAGCAGCCGCGGUAAUACGUAGGGGGCAAGCGUUAUCCGGACUUACUGGGUGUAAAGGGAGCGCAGGCGGCGCGCCAAGUCUGAUGUGAAACCCCGGGGCUCAACCCCGGGCAUGCAUUGGAAACUGGCGGGCUGGAGUGCCGGAGAGGUAAGCGGAAUUCCUAGUGUAGCGGUGAAAUGCGUAGAUAUUAGGAGGAACACCAGUGGCGAAGGCGGCUUACUGGACGGCAACUGACGCUGAGGCUCGAAAGCGUGGGGAGCAAACAGGAUUAGAUACCCUUGUA